CUUCGAAACCUAAUUUCCCGACUCUCUCUCUCAGCAAUCUGCGACCUUUCUUUCUCCCCACCACCACCAGCGCUUCGCCGACGACCACCAACACCACUGCCUCCCGGUUCUCCGACGACCACCACCACUAGCGCAUCUCGGCUCUCAGACGACCACCACCACCAGCACCAGCGCCUCCCAAUUCUCCGACGACCACCACCACCAGAGCCGCUCUCAGACGACCACCACCACCAGCACCAGCGCCCCCCGAUUCUCCAACCACCACCAUCGCCACCAGGCCUCCCGGCUCUCCGAAGACCACCACCACCAGAGCCUCCUGCUCUCCGACGACCACCACCAAAGCCGCUCUCUUUAUCGGAUGAAGGUAUUGGUGGGAAUGUUAUUAGGCUGGUGUUUGUCUAAGAUAGUCGGCUCUCAAUUACAAAAACUUCUUCCAAAAACUAAGGCGGCGGCUGGCCGGAACUCUUUUCCGAUUGAUGAUGACGAUGAGGGGUUUACUGUGGAAACAAGAGAUGUUUCACCCGCACAUUUUUUGACAAAAAUCGAAUCCUUCUCCUUAUUUUCCGAGUAUGGUCCAAAGAAUUUGAUGUAGGAGAUUACAAAUGGAGACUUAUAAUCUAUCCGUAUGGCAAAGAAAAAGACCAUAGCCAUGUUUCGGUAUACCUGGCUAUGGCGGAGACAAGUUCUUUACCUAUAGACUGGGAGUUCAAUGCCAAUUUCACCAUCUUUCUCUACAAUCAAAUAUCUAUGUUUUCGAUUAAACGGAGGGCGGCGCUUUAAUGAAACAAAGUCCAAUUGGGGAUUUUCCAAAUUUAUCUCUACGGAAAGUUUGAAAACUAAAUCAAACGGAUACCUGGUUGACGACAACUUUGUUCUUGGCGCUGAAGUUUUUUGUAACCACGAAAGACCACGAGUUAUUGAGAAUGUGACUUUGCUUAGGCGUGCAACAUAUCCAUAUACACGCGCAUGGAAGAUUGUAGGUUUCUCUAAGUUGGAAGAUGUUUGGGAGUCUGAAGAGUUCACCAUAAGAGAUGUCGAUUGG
Non-coding RNA from Erythranthe guttata (spotted monkey flower), 1042 nucleotides. NCBI's taxonomy places the organism in Eukaryota, Viridiplantae, Streptophyta, Magnoliopsida, Lamiales, Phrymaceae. The record is from RefSeq and is a predicted model, not a curated record.